AACGAACGCUGGCGGCAGGCUUAACACAUGCAAGUCGAGCGCCCCGCAAGGGGAGCGGCAGACGGGUGAGUAACGCGUGGGAAUCUACCUUUUGCUACGGAAUAACGCAGGGAAACUUGUGCUAAUACCGUAUGUGUCCUUCGGGAGAAAGAUUUAUCGGCAAGAGAUGAGCCCGCGUUGGAUUAGCUAGUUGGUGGGGUAAAGGCCUACCAAGGCGACGAUCCAUAGCUGGUCUGAGAGGAUGAUCAGCCACAUUGGGACUGAGACACGGCCCAAACUCCUACGGGAGGCAGCAGUGGGGAAUAUUGGACAAUGGGCGCAAGCCUGAUCCAGCCAUGCCGCGUGAGUGAUGAAGGCCCUAGGGUUGUAAAGCUCUUUCACCGGAGAAGAUAAUGACGGUACCCGGAGAAGAAGCCCCGGCUAACUUCGUGCCAGCCGCCGCGGUAA
Molecule: ribosomal RNA, 447 nt
Filed under: uncultured Hyphomicrobiales bacterium
Lineage: Bacteria; Pseudomonadati; Pseudomonadota; Alphaproteobacteria; Hyphomicrobiales
Description: bacterial SSU rRNA
Rfam family: Bacterial small subunit ribosomal RNA
Source: RNAcentral